CUGGGUGAGGUGUAAGUGGUUGCAUGGCCGGUUUGGAUCCGGGCGGUUCGAGGUUCGAGUCCUCGCACCCAGA
RNAcentral lists this transfer RNA (73 nucleotides) under Mycobacterium phage Bongo. It matches the Rfam family "tRNA". From Rfam's summary of the family: Transfer RNA (tRNA) molecules are approximately 80 nucleotides in length. Their secondary structure includes four short double-helical elements and three loops (D, anti-codon, and T loops). Lineage: Duplodnaviria; Heunggongvirae; Uroviricota; Caudoviricetes; Vilmaviridae. The record is from Rfam by way of RNAcentral. RNAcentral also lists the same sequence under 1 other name.